GUCCUAGCCCUAAACGAUCAGGACUUGGGGUGCCGCCCGUUCGGGCGUCGUCCCGGAGCUAACGCGUUAAGUCCUGCACCUGGGGAGUACGGUCGCAAGACUGAAACUCAAAGGAAUUGAUGGGGGCCCGCACAAGCGGUGGAACAUGUGGUUCAAUUCGACGCUACGCGAGGAACCUUACCUGGGCUCGAAAUGCUAGUGACCAGCUUUAGAAAUAUUGCCUUCCCGCAAGGGACACUAGUAUAGGCGCUGCAUGGCUGUCGU
RNAcentral lists this ribosomal RNA (264 nucleotides) under uncultured bacterium. RNAcentral's name for it is "partial 16S ribosomal RNA". It matches the Rfam family "Bacterial small subunit ribosomal RNA", at positions 793 to 1055 of the family's 1533-position model. The record is from RNAcentral.